Molecule: unclassified non-coding RNA, 425 nt
Filed under: Hevea brasiliensis (rubber tree)
Lineage: Eukaryota; Viridiplantae; Streptophyta; Magnoliopsida; Malpighiales; Euphorbiaceae
Source: RNAcentral
AAACCAAAAAUUAAAAUUAAACAAAAUAUUGGCUCUAAAAUGUCUGGCUGAAAUUAUUCUAUGGAAAGCAUUUUGAGCUGAAAGGAGUAGAGGCUUAGCAUGAAAUUUUCAGUGAUGUAUUUAUGAAGAAAGUCGACUUCUCUUACAGGUUUUUAAGGCUGUUGCAAUGAUGGAACAAUGGGAAUAAGAAACCUUCUCCUCUAUGGAUUCCUAGCAAAUCAGCAAUAAUCCUAGCCAGCCAAUACAAUUGCAAAUCAUGGGUUAGAAAAAAGAAAUUCUUCAUUUUAAUACCUGAAGUUGAGAAAUAUGUGCUUCAUAAAGGUUAGGAAAAUAUUAAAAUUCCUCAAGGUUUACUAAGAAGGCGAUAGUAUCAGGAAUAGGCCCUUCAAAUUUGUUCUCAUUGGGUUUGCUGCAGACGUCAAAAU